AGGGACAGUGAGAAGGGCCCAUCAGGCUCUGGAGGGAGCAGGAAGCCACAGCGCAGAGGCCCCUGGGGGCCCCUCCCAGCAGGCAGGGCGUUUGUUUAGGGUGUUGCCAGGCAACUAGCCACGUGGGGCGACAGACUGGUUGGGAGAUCAGCUAUGGAUGCAGAAGCAAAGCCUGGCGCUCACCAGGGGGGACCAGGUUCCAGCUCAGUGGGGCUGGAAAGCAGAGGCAGCCACCUCAGGGGCCUGGCACUCCUGUCUGGUUCUGGCCCAGCCUGAGUCUGAGCUUGCUGCAGGUGGGCAGGGCAGGGCUCUGGGCUGAGGAGAGAGGAGGCCCCGGGUGGUCCCUACUGGCCCCUGCUGAGGCAUCCCUGAAACUGCAUCCUCCCUAGUCUCCAAUCCUCCCUUCUCUGGAGCCCCUAAGUCUCCUCAGCUCAACUCCGGGUCCUACUGGGAAACAAAGGGGAAGGAGAUGCCAGGGAAAUAAGCUUCCAGCCCCAUCUCCAUCCUCCUUGCCUCCCAGCCAGGCUUCACAGCAGUUUCUGGCUCCAAAAUUCCCAGAGCCCUGGGGGCUGCCUGUGUCCCCCGGAAGCAUAAGGAAUUCCAUCUGCCACCCACCCCCCAACUGGUGCUCCACGCCCCCCGGGAAUGAGGCUACCUGCAGCUGCUGUCGACACCAACUCCAAAUGGGUCCCCAGCUGAACAGGGCGCCCUCCCAGCCGGCUCCCACCUUGCAGCGCCCCCCUCGUGCCUCCCCAGCAGGAAGCUCUCCAAGGACCUCGGCGCUGACCCUG
Molecule: long non-coding RNA, 791 nt
Organism: Octodon degus (degu)
Lineage: Eukaryota; Metazoa; Chordata; Mammalia; Rodentia; Octodontidae
Exons: 3
Source: RefSeq, a predicted model, not a curated record